UUCCAGAGAUGGAUUGGUGCCUUCGGGAACUCUGACACAGGUGCUGCAUGGCUGUCGUCAGCUCGUGUCGUGAGAUGUUGGGUUAAGUCCCGUAACGAGCGCAACCCUUGCCUUUAGUUGCCAGCAGUUCGGCUGGGCACUCUAAAGGGACUGCCGGUGUUAAACCGGAGGAAGGUGGGGAUGACGUCAAGUCCUCAUGGCCUUUAUGACCAGGGCUACACACGUACUACAAUGGCCGAUACAAAGGGCAGCGACACUGCGAGGUGAAGCCAAUCCCGUAAAAUCGGUCUCAGUCCGGAUUGGAGUCUGCAACUCGACUCCAUGAAGUUGGAAUCGCUAGUAAUCGUGGAUCAGCAUGCCACGGUGAAUACGUUCCCGGGCCUU
Molecule: ribosomal RNA, 384 nt
Filed under: uncultured Desulfobulbus sp.
Lineage: Bacteria; Pseudomonadati; Thermodesulfobacteriota; Desulfobulbia; Desulfobulbales; Desulfobulbaceae
Description: bacterial SSU rRNA
Rfam family: Bacterial small subunit ribosomal RNA
Source: RNAcentral